RNAcentral lists this unclassified non-coding RNA (930 nucleotides) under Hevea brasiliensis (rubber tree). Lineage: Eukaryota; Viridiplantae; Streptophyta; Magnoliopsida; Malpighiales; Euphorbiaceae. The record is from RNAcentral.
GUCAGGCAGCUGCUGGUGUUUCUCUCCAGCCCGCCGCCCCUCCUCUCCUUUUUUUUCCGGCGAGUGAAGCAGCCGGACAGAAACACCAGCAGCUGCCUGACAGGCGCAUCCUCUCCCUCUUCCCAGCCGUCGUCUUCUCCAUCGAUUUCUCCUCCCUUCUCUGUUCCCUUUUCCGGAGGGUAGCAUCUCGGCGAGAGCACACGCAGCAGCUACAUCGAGCUCCGUCGAGACUCCUUCUUCCUUCUCCUCCUUUCUCCGGCAAGAAUCUGGUCAACAGCAGCGACAACAAAUCAGCAAGGCCCUCGUGUCUCCUUCUCCGGUAAAAAAACUUACUCGUUAUUUUUAUGAGAGAAGCCAGGAAACACGAAUUACCAAAUGGCGAAGUCAUCCACUAUCAAAGGAAGUACGGUGGAGGAAUGCCAAGACAUGAUCCGGAGAAGUCUUAGAACUCCAAUGGUGAAGUUCUUAAAGGAGCAUUUGGAGAAAUCUGGUUGUCGAAUUGGUGAUAACUUCAUAAGAGCUGUCCAUUGCAACAAGAUGGCCAGCGGCUUCUAUGUUCGUGGACUUGGGAUACAAGUGUGCAGUAACUACAUGCGAUAUCAAGAUGAGGUGAAUCAAGUUAUCAUACAUGAGUUAAUUCAUGCAUAUGAUGAGUGUCGUGCUGCAAACUUGGAGUGGUCUAAUUGUGCUCAUCAUGCUUGUAGUGAAAUCAGAGCUGGCCAUCUUAGCGGUGAUUGCCAUUACAAACGGGAACUACUGAGAGGUUUUCUUAAGAUACGUGGCCAUGAACAAGAAUGUGUGAAGCGAAGAGUUAUGAAAUCGUUGUCUAUUAACCCAAACUGUUCAGAGACGACGAGUAAGGAAACCAUGGAAGCUGUCUGGGAUAUUUGUUACAAUGAUACUAUGCCCUUCGACAGAGCCCCUUGAAAC